ACGCUCGACACCUACGGGACAGCAGUGGGGAAUAUUGCACAAUGGGGGAAACCCUGAUGCAGCGACGCCGCGUGAGCGAAGAAGUAUUUCGGUAUGUAAAGCUCUAUCAGCAGGGAAGAUAAUGACGGUACCUGACUAAGAAGCUCCGGCUAAAUACGUGCCNNNCGCCGUAGUAUNGNGGCGGNGNGAGAG
Molecule: ribosomal RNA, 192 nt
Filed under: uncultured bacterium
Lineage: Bacteria
Description: partial 16S ribosomal RNA
Rfam family: Bacterial small subunit ribosomal RNA
Source: RNAcentral